RNAcentral lists this transfer RNA (85 nucleotides) under Cribrihabitans marinus. It matches the Rfam family "tRNA". Rfam says of the family: Transfer RNA (tRNA) molecules are approximately 80 nucleotides in length. Their secondary structure includes four short double-helical elements and three loops (D, anti-codon, and T loops). Further hydrogen bonds mediate the characteristic L-shaped molecular structure. tRNAs have two regions of fundamental functional importance: the anti-codon, which is responsible for specific mRNA codon recognition, and the 3' end, to which the tRNAs corresponding amino acid is attached (by aminoacyl-tRNA synthetases). tRNAs cope with the degeneracy of the genetic code in two manners: having more than one tRNA (with a specific anti-codon) for a particular amino acid; and 'wobble' base-pairing, i.e. permitting non-standard base-pairing at the 3rd anti-codon position. The record is from Rfam by way of RNAcentral. Lineage: Bacteria; Pseudomonadati; Pseudomonadota; Alphaproteobacteria; Rhodobacterales; Paracoccaceae.
GGAAGCGUGGCAGAGUGGUCGAUUGCACUGGUCUUGAAAACCAGCGAACCGAGAGGUUCCGUGGGUUCGAAUCCCACCGCUUCCG